CUUAGAAAGAAUUUCUUUUAUUUUUGUUAUUAUAGGCAGUAAUCAGAUAAAUCUGCUUUUUUAUCUUAUUCACCUGAUAUCUUACUCUUGCUCAAAGAUUAUUUUGAAAAUGUUGAUUAAAUAAAAUUGUAUUAUUGCAUUUCCAGUCCUUUUGUUUUCUAUUUUUUAUUCUAUUUUAUCAUUUGGUUUCAGAGUUGUGAUUUUUAAGGAAAUUAAAUAAUAAUUUUCUAAAAUAUAACAUGCACAUACUUUUUUUGAUCAUUGUAUUGUUGAUUAUCAUUCACGUCACAUCGCUUCGGAAUAGAAACCAGCUUAAUUUACACUAUGUUGUGUAUUGUGCUUAAAUUAUGGAUUGUAUUCAUCAUUUCGGUCCAUAUAAAUAAUUGUAUGGCACCUACCUACCUACCUAUAUAUCGCAGUACCGCGAACUGACAACCCUUACAAAUAUCCCAAUUUAACCCUUACCCGUGUCAAUUUACCCCAAAUGCGGGGUAAAUUGGGAUGGCCAUUAUUUUUCCGAUUAUUUCUUUAAAUUGAAUAAUUAAAAUAAUGUAACGGUUUUUAUCACCUAGGUACGUUCAAGACUCAACUUAUUUCUUUGGUUGAGCAGUGACUAUUUAAUUGGAACUAUGUUAAAAUUCAAUCUGAAGUUCGAUUUUGUCCCUAUUUACCCCAUUUUACGGUAUCUACCUAAUAAAUAUGACUACAUUUAAGAGGUGAAUGAAGUUAGCCCCUCAAAAAAAUUUUUUUUUCCUGUUUUCUACUUAUUUUCUAUUAAUUCGUUUGUUCAUCAUUUGUUCUUGAUUGUUCACUGUUAAUAAUUGUUUGUUCCCCAUUUAUUUAUUUUAAAAAAAAUAUUAAAAAUAUAUCUAAAAGUUAGCCCCUCGAUUGCAAUUUUUAAUAUUUUUUCGUCCUUAAUUACUCGUAAAUAUUCAUUUUCGAUUGUUCUUAUAUAAAAUACGUUUGUUCUCUUUCGAAAUUACUCAUUUUUUGUUUAAUUAAUUGUAUUAGUUGAAUAAAUGUAUACAAAAUAUGUGUACUGCGCAUGCCAUAAGUGUAUAAUCUAUGGCGCAUGCGUCAACUAUAAUCUCAAAUAUAAUAAGUGUAUAAUCUAUGACUAUAAUGCCUAAACUUUCUACGCGGUUUUAAUCGUGAAAAAAAAAACAAUUAUAAAUCCUGAAGGAUCAAUUAAUUGGUAUACAGUUUAAUUAAAAAAAUAAAGAAAUAAAAUAAUGUGCAUUCGCGUAAAGUUAGACCAAAUACAUUUUUUCCAUCCUCCUAUAUACCUAUCGCUAUGAAGGUAUAAAAAAGAUAGGUUAAGAGUUCACAUAGGUAAUAUAAACAAAUAAGUAAAUAUGUUCAUUAUUUAUCUUUCAAGAGAUAAUGUAGGUAUACAUUAUAAUAACAUUUUGACACAGUCGAAAUUAUAUUCCUAACAUUAGUAAAAUAACAUUUUAAUAUUUUUUUUAUAGGUUAUGUAUUGAAAUUGUUGGAAAAUUAUUUCAUGUUUUAGCUGGAAAACGACAUGGAGAAUUAUAUGCAAUACAAGAUAAUGAGCUCCAUCAAAUGAAUUCGAAUGAAACCAAACUGUUUACCAUCCAAAUUCGAUUGUCGGGCAGAUAGAAAACGAAAAUUCACUCAUAGUGAACCUCGGCCUGCAUUUGUGAAACGGCAAAGACUCACUAUUAUCGAGGAAAUUGAAGAGACGACUAAAAAUGAGAUGUGUCGUAUUAUUUAUACCUUUGCCAUCUUGUAGUCAAGAUGUCCAGCCACUUGAAAAUAGGUGUAGUAAUGACAAAGCUAUCCAAGUAGCUCCAGCACAGGAACACAAAGGCAAGGCAAGUGUGUAUUGCCACAUCACCCCUUAAUAUAUCUGAAGCAAGUAUAAGUAAACAAUCAGAACCAGCAAAAAAAAAAAACUGUUGUUCCUGAGGACAAAUUUGACAGUGAUGAGUCAAAUGCACCAGCAACAGAAGGAUCAACUGUUGACUAUGGGUUAUAGAAGAAGAAGAUUAAUUAAUAAAUAUGAAUUAAUUUAAAUUAUCGUGCAAAAUUCGUGGUCAAAACAUAUGUGUAUUUUAUAAAUAAAUAUUCAUUCUCAGUA
This is a long non-coding RNA of Bombyx mori (domestic silkworm), 2104 nucleotides long. RefSeq lists it as uncharacterized. The record is from RefSeq and is a predicted model, not a curated record. NCBI's taxonomy places the organism in Eukaryota, Metazoa, Arthropoda, Insecta, Lepidoptera, Bombycidae. The transcript is spliced from 2 exons.